AUUGUGAAAGCAGCACUGCUUCUCCAAAGACGUCAUGGAGAAAUACUUCAUUCGUGAUAAUGGCAGCAAGGCUGCCACUGAUGCCCAGGAUGCAAACCAGGGUCAACCAAAUCUCGGGAUGGUGAGCAUACUGUCUAUUGCAACGUGCACAAGUAUGAACCCCUUGUGCUGUGCUGUGAGAGCUGUGACACCCUCAUCUGCCAAGACUGCCAGCUUAAUGCCCACAAGGAUCACCAGUACCAGUUCCUAGAGUAUACAGUAAAGAACCAGGAAAAGCUCCUGGCCUCCCUGGUGAAGUGCCUUGAGGACAAAUAUGCAACAUUGUAAAAUAGCACCAAGGAGGCUCACAGCUUGAUCUGCCAGGUGUCUGACGUACAGAAGCAUGUGCAGGUAGAUGUCAUGAUGGCCAUCCUGCAGAUGAUGAAGGAACUGAACAAGUGGGGCCAUGUGCUGGUCAGGGAUGCCCAGAAAGUGACUGAGGGGUAGCAGAAGUGCCUGGAGUUGCAGCCCUGAGCCUCAACCAAGAUCCAGAAGCACCAGGAGCACAUCUUAUAAUUUGUCUCUUGGGAUCUGGAGGGUAACGACAACACAGCCCUAUCGCUUUCUAAGAAGUUGAUCUAAUUCCAACUGCAUUGGGCCCUCAAGAUGGUUGUGGAUCCUGUGGAGCCACACGGAAAGAUGAAGUUUCAAUGUGACCUCAAUGCCUGGAACAAAAGUGCUGAAGCCUUUGGGAAGUUUGUGGCAGAGCGUCCCAGCACACAACUCAAUGGGCCCUGCACCCAUGGCCCCUCCAAGAGUCCCAGGGAUCCUGAGCAAGCAGGACUCUAGCAGUAGUCAACCCAGGGAGGUACAGAAAGGCUAUGCUUUGGAUCAGCACAUGAUCCCUACUCAAGUACAGAGCCCCAUGUUUCAGGCCUAAAGUAGUCUUGCUCAGGUGAGGGUGAGGUGAGUGGCCUCAUGCACAAGGUGCCACAAGUGAGCCUUGAACGUCUAGACCUGGAUCUCACAGCUGACAGCCAGCCACCUGUCUUCAAGGUCUUCCCGAGUAGCACUACUGAGGACUACAACCUCAUCAUUAUUGAGCAGGGCGUUGCUGCUGCAGCUGCUGGACAGCCAGGGCUGCACCCCCAGGAACCCCUGGUGACCCACCAUUACCUGGCAUGGCCAUCAUCAAAAAGGAGGAGACAGAGGCUGCCUUUGGAGCUCCUCCUGCCACAGAGCACCUUGAGACCAAACCUGUGCUGGUGGCUCUGGCAGAGAGUCCCAGUGCUGAGGGCCUCUGCCUGGCCUCACCCAGUGGCAGUACAAGCUCAGGCCUGGAAGUGGUGGCUCCUGAAGGCACUUCAACCCAAGGAGGUAGCCCAGGCACUGGACAACAGUGUGACCAUUUGCCAUGUCUGCCAGAAGCCAGGCAACCUGGGCAUGUGCUACCAGUGUGAGUUUUGCUUCCACCUAGACUGCCACCUUCCUGGCAUGCAGGAUGUGCCAGAGAAGGAGUGGAGUUGCUCACUGUGUCAGGUGGUACCUGACUUGAAGGAGGAGGAUGGCAACCUCACCAUGGAUUCUGUGGACAGCACUGGUGUGGUGGCCAAACUCUCACCAGCUAACCAUGAGCGUGUUCUGCUGGCUUUGCUCUAUCAUGAACCUUGACGCCCCUGCAUCAACUGGCUACCAACUACCUUCUCUCUGGACCAGCCUGAUGGCAGCCUAGACCUGACCCUGAUCUGCAACAGCCUCCAGGAGGAGUUGUCACCCCUCUACAGCUUUCCCCAGGAGUUUGCCCAGGAUGUGGGCCACAUGUUCAAGCAGUUCAACAAGUUGACUGAGGACAAGGCAGAUGUACAGUCCAUCAUUGGCCAGCAGUGCUUCUUUGAGACGCGCAUGAAUGAGGCAUUUGAUGACACCAAAUUCUCUGCUGUGCUGGUGGAACUCUUGUCCCUGAGUCUCCCCAGUGCUGGCCUGAGUUCCCAGGAGCUGUCUGGUCACCCUGGUGAUGGUCCCUGA
This is an RNA transcript of Nycticebus coucang (slow loris), 2004 nucleotides long. It is a transcript of the gene named transcription intermediary factor 1-beta-like, with no coding region annotated. The record is from RefSeq and is a predicted model, not a curated record. NCBI's taxonomy places the organism in Eukaryota, Metazoa, Chordata, Mammalia, Primates, Lorisidae. The transcript is spliced from 2 exons.